Molecule: transfer RNA, 70 nt
Filed under: Habropoda radoszkowskii
Lineage: Eukaryota; Metazoa; Arthropoda; Insecta; Hymenoptera; Apidae
Description: tRNA-Lys
Source: RNAcentral
CAUUAGAUGUCUGAAGUGUAAGAAUUGAUCUUUUAAAUCAUAUUAUAGUAAUAACAAUUACUUCUAAUGA